This 310-nucleotide small nuclear RNA is filed under the name Aotus nancymaae (Ma's night monkey). RNAcentral describes it as "7SK RNA (ENSANAG00000010648.1)". It matches the Rfam family "7SK RNA". From Rfam's summary of the family: 7SK was discovered as an abundant small nuclear RNA in the mid-70s but a possible function has only recently been suggested. Two independent studies have found that 7SK RNA binds the CDK9/cyclin T complex (known as elongation factor P-TEFb). Lineage: Eukaryota; Metazoa; Chordata; Mammalia; Primates; Aotidae. The record is from RNAcentral.
GGAUGUGAGGGCAAUCUGGAUGCAACAUCUGUCACCCCAUUGAUCGCCAGUGUUGAUUCGGCUGAUCUGGCUGGCUAGGCGGGUGUCCCCUUCCUCCCUCACUGCUCCAUGUGUGUCCCUCCCGAAGCUGCGUGCUUGGUCAAAGAGGACGACCAUCCCCGAUAGAGGAGGACCGGUCUUCGGUCAAGGGUAUAUGAGUAGCUGCACUCCCCUGCUAGAACCUCCAAACAAGCUCUCAAGAAACGUCUGUGAGCUAAAACAACAUGUUCUAACCCAAUGCAAAGAAACUAAGAACCUUGAAAAAAGAUUU